UCAAGCAGAAGACGGCAUACGAGAUAGCGUAGCGUCUCGUGGGCUCGGAGAUGUGUAUAAGAGACAGGUCCUAAGGCAAGGCCGAAAAGCGUAGUCGAUGGUAAGCAGGUUAAUAUUCCUGCACUACUCGAUGCAUUCGAUGGAGUGACGCAUUCUAGUAUUCUUCGCGCAUUAUUGGAUUUGCGUUCUUUUCGUGAGGGUGUUUCUUUGGUAAAUCCGGGAAGCAUCAACCCAAGCGAUGAGACGACCGUGCGCAACACAGAGUAAUGACGCCAAAAUAGUUUUUCUUUGAUAUUGAGAAUGUCAAAGUAUUUAUUUUGGAUGUUCUGUGUUGCGCGUGGGAGGAGGGAAAGCAGGGUGCCAGGAAAAACUUCUAAGUUAUGUGCAUCGGUAACCGUACUAAAACCGACACAGGUGGACUGGGCGAGUAGCCUAAGGUUAACGAGAGAACCUUCGUUAAGGAACUCGGCAAAAAAGCUAGGCGUACGUUUGCAAUAUGCCUUCCCAGCACUGUCAAAGGUGCUGGGCGCAGCGAAAGUUUCCCAAGCGACUGUUUACCAAAAACACAGGUCUCUGCAAACCCGCAAGGGGAAGUAUAGGGGCUGACGCCUGACCAGUGCUGGAACGUUAACGGGAGCGGUUCACGCCAAUCCCCGAAGCGCCAGUGAACGUCGGCGAUAACUAUAAUCGUCCUAAGGUUUCGGUGAUUUUCGUCUUUAUUGACAAAGUCAUCGGAAGGACUGGGACGAUUAUGGCGAAGUUUUGGUGAAUACAAUGAAAAUUGAUUGAUGCAAUGCUGCCUCGUUUUAUGGUGACAUAAAAUAAGGUCCUUAAAAUACACGGCCAUAUGCUGGGAAGUCUCAUCUGCAAAAAUGAGGCGAUCAGCAGGGAAGAUCCCACUUAUUAUUAGUGGGAAACCCUCAGAUACCAAACGCCGUGCUUCCGAAAUGUAUUUUUUGGAAGAAGAUAUGGUACAUCGCCAGAGGAAGCGAUCAGCGAAAUUCCUUGUCAGGUAAAUUCUGACCCGCAUCAAAGGCGUAACGACUUGGGAACUGUCUCAACGAAGGACUCGGUGAAAUCGCAAUGACGGUAAAGAUGCCGUCAACCUGCAGCAAGACGAAAAGACCCCGUGGAGCUUUACUAUAGCUUGGUAUUGAAUAGGAGUUGAAGUUGCCGAGAUUAGGUGGAAGGCUUUGAAGUCCCGAUUCUGGUUGGGAUGGAGCCGACAAGUGGAAUACCACCCUGAUUCGAUUUUUAUUCUCACCCUGGGCCGUUAGUUGGUUUCUACAAUGCCCGUGUUUCCGUGUAUUCGGAAAUUAUGGUUGUUAUUUGCCGUUAAAUCGUUCUAGAAAUCAACUACCGGUCCGGGGACAGUGCCUGGUGGGUAGUUUGACUGGGGCGGUCGCCUCCUAAAAGGCAACGGAGGCGUUUACAAAGGUAGGCUAGGUCCGGAUGGAAAUCGGUCCGAUAGCGCAAAAGCACAAGCCUGCUUUACUGAGAGACCUAUACGUCGAUCAGUCACGAAAGUGGAAUUUAGUGAACCGACCAUCCCUCGUAGGAGGGUGGAAGAUCAACAGAUAAAAGUUACCCCGGGGAUAACAGGCUAAUCACUCCCAAGAGUCCACAUCGACGGAGUGGUUUGGCACCUCGAUGUCGGCUCAUCGCAUCCUGGGGCUGGAGAAGGUCCCAAGGGUUUGGCUGUUCGCCAAUUAAAGCGGUACGCGAGCUGGGUUCAAACCGUCGUGAGACAGGUUGGUCUCUAUCUGCUGUAGGCGUCAUUACUUGAGAGGAGUCUUUCCUAGUACGAGAGGACCGGAAAGAACGAACCUCUGGUGUAUCGGCUGUUCCGCCAGGAGCACUGUCGAGUAGCUAUGUUCGGACCGGAUAACUGCUGAAAGCAUCUAAGCGGGAAGCCGACCUCAAGAUAAGGUAAUUGUCCCGAUUUAUCGGGACGGAACAUCCUCGGAGCUGUCUCUUAUACACAUCUGACGCUGCCGACGAAUAGAGAGGUGUAGAUCUC
This 2020-nucleotide ribosomal RNA is filed under the name freshwater metagenome. Its description in RNAcentral is "bacterial LSU rRNA". It matches the Rfam family "Bacterial large subunit ribosomal RNA", at positions 1333 to 2925 of the family's 2925-position model. The record is from RNAcentral.